UACAUCUGACGGUUAGGAAGGGAUCCUCCGUGCGAAUUGACAAUCAUCGCUGGCGAGAGACGCUUGGCCGGUGCGAGAAACGCAAGGAAUUGCGCUCUCCAAAUUGCGCCUUCGCGACCGGAUUUGAAAAAAGAAAGAAAAGAAAUGAGAAAAGAUGAAACAAAAGACAAUGAUUCCCGUACAAGUAUGCGGGUGAUAUCGAGAAUUUUAGUCGAUGCUUUGCCAGUGACAAAGGAAAGGAACAAUAAGCGCUAUACAAGAAGAAGAAAGCAACACUUUUGUAAUCCGUCGUUUUUUAUUUUGCUAAAAAUCUACUGCGAUUGUGUCGUAACUCAUCUAACGUACAUGCUCGUUUCGCACUUCUACGUUAGAUUUACACUAUUGAAACGUAUAACCUUACAUAGCUUGGGACCGACAAUUUUAAUCGAGCGACUCGAACGUAUUAAAUUUACGCCGUAUUACGCGCGCAUCAAUCAGCGCGGAAACUUUAAUAUUCUAUUAUCUUCGAUUCCGUUCUGUUCUUCUUACAUUUCCUCUUGGCUGUUACCGCGCAACGCUGCAGAUCUCCUCUGAUGCGACGCCCAUCGGACAUUUGCUGGCGAAAUGACCAAACCGGUUAAACUUAAAAUACUUCGUGCCCUUGAUGGUAGAGCCGCCGAGUUAAGGGGCUGCUGGGGUGCCGCCGUUGGAAUAACUCCCGGUUUGUAUCGAUCCUGGAACAGGCGAAUCCAGAAAAGUUGCUUCUUCUUCCUCCUACAUUUCCUCGUUCAUGCACUCGUAUUUCGCCAACCUUCGUUUAUGUUCUUGAAUCGAUGUAAUGCCAUAGAGCAACAAUUGCUUGUUUAGUUCACCGGCUUAUCAUCUGUCCCCUCGAUGAUGUAUUUUAUAAGCGAGCUUUUACUCUUUUCAUUCCAUCCGCCAUUACACGCAUUCUAUAAACGUAUUUUCACGUUGUUCGUUGUUCGCCUAGUUAGUUUAGUUUUCGUCAGUUUCUUACGUUGCUCCAACUAUCUCGUAACGUUCCAAAGGUCUAAGUCCGAUGCAAAUUCCGUUUCAAGGAAUAUUAUUCUUAAACUGCCCCCAUGCUCUACUCACCCUUCAAAUCGAACAAAUAUUCGUGCCGAUCCCCUUAGUUAGUAACCUCUCACAAUUAAUUACCUCCUGAAAAUCUGUCCGACUAUGAAGAGUCAGCAUUACAACGAAUCGGGAGCAGUCGUGAACGUUAUCGUCGUUGCUUUAUCGGUCGAAUUGAUUCUUCUACAUCUCUGAUAGUGGAAACUUCCACCGACAGACUCAUCGUUCUGCCGUGGACUUGCUCAUCGGUGUCCGCGCCACUGUCCUCACUUUCGUCUUCUUUAUCUCUUCUCAUCGUUAAGGCAGCUUCUACGCGUUCCACCUACUCCUGAUAUCUUUCCUUCGUUCAUAUAGUCGUCUUCAGUUAUAGUCCCGCCUCUUCGAGUUGGCCUUUAAGUUCCGGAAUCGUCGUCUACUGCAGUCCCUCCGCUCGUCAGGUUAUUUUCGACAAUAGUGCGAGAAAGCUCUUCCUGACGACUCGCGGUAUUUGUAAUAAAAUCUCGUUUCUUUUUCAUUCAAAUCCGGUCGUCGUCGAAAUAUUUCACGGAUGUACUGACUCGGUGACUCAUCAGUUGCAGCUCCAGUAGAAUGGACAAACAACGACCACUACGGUUCAUUGUCGUCGAAUGUUCGCGAAUUAUUGUCAUGUCCAUCGAAAACAUAUUUUCGAAUAUAACGCAACGGAAAUGGACUUGCCAUGACAAUACUGCGCGCGUAUAUCUACACGCGACCGAGAAGAAGAUCUCAUUACUUCGUAAGGUAAUCAUUACUUAGGUACAAUAACGUCGUCUGAAUUGCCGCCAGCAACACCUCAGGAAACAAAUGAUCGGAACGAAUGUUGGAUCUGAGCGAGGGGAAGCGCACGGAGCAUCUACUAAAUUGCUCCAUCCACACCCGUAUUUAUAUGCAGCUCUUAAAAUCAUAGAUACGACAGAAAUAUUUGUAUACGCUAUAUUUUUUUCUAUUAUUUCCGUUUUGUUUCCGUCCUAUUUUGAUAAUACGAGAGCACACGUGGUAUUUCCACUUUUCGCACGAUGAUGAUGCCAACGAUGAUGAACCACUUGCAGGAACAGUCAGGCAUUUGGAGUUUUCCAAGAGGAUGCAUCGUCGAUCGUUUCUCGCUAUGCCUGCCAUGAUUGAAAUUAGAGAGUUAUAUCGACGUUUGUGUUGAGGGACAUCCAAUGUCGCGCCAUUAUUUCACCGUUCGAUUAGGACUCCCGACGCGAGAGUCAGAGGCGGCGAUGCGGACGAAGAAAAUCCUUCGAUCGAGCAUGUGAGAGGACCGCGCGCGCACUAUUCGAUACUUUUCUCUUCGACAGUGUCCGAUACUUUACUCGGUAAGGCGCACGAUGGCAGUAUGAUGGAAUGUAUGACUAAACUGUACCUAACGUGUGAAAAAGAUAAAUGCUACCUCGAGUACGGCUACGCUUCUUGUCCCGUGCGUCGUACAAUCAUCGCGAGGCUCCCAAGGGCGUCGUGCCUACGACAGAGCACCUAUCUCAACGUCGACAUCUAACGGCGGAUCAACCUUUGUAUAUAGAAACUUAUGAUUCCAAGCGUAGAACGUGUACGUACGAAGGAACGUUUUGCUUUCAGCAAGUAAAAAUUUGCUGACGUAAACUCUGAUCGAGUGCAUUGCAAAGACCGUAAUAUCUCGAUAACGUUUGUUUUCGUCUUCAUUCCUCACUUUCUCUUGAUUACGACUGCACGUAGGGACGGUGUAAAAAGUUAUACGGCUUCUAUAAUUUUCAAUUUAUUUGAUUAAAUUCACUAGUUGCUUUUACCGUUAAGUAAAGUUGAGUGUUUUACGGAAUAAUACAAUUUUUUUUAUUGAAUGAAUUAUAUUGCGUGUACAAUACGGUGAAAGGAAUCCUAAACAUAUCUAAGACAUAUCCUAUUAUUGUGAAAGCUCCUUCGUUUAUUGGUGUGAUGAUACUGAAGAUAUAUUCAACCAAAUUCUAAAUCCUAGGAAAGUAGGAAUUUUCACUCAUUGUGGCAUAUUUUAGUUAGGCACGAAAUUAUUUGUGAUUGCGGACGAUCCCGAAUCGAAUAUCGAGAAAAGUUCGAGAACUAUGAAUACGUAAAUGCUGCUCUUGGGAGUAGUUCGCUCUCUGCUCCAGGUAUACAUCGUUUAUUAAUAUAUAAUUAUUUAUGUUACAAAUAUAAAUAAAUUAUAAUUUUUUAAGUUAUAAUUUUUCAACGUAAUAUAUACAUACACUAUUACCAGAAAUGUUCUUUAAGAAAAUAGUGAUCUUCGCUGGAGCAAAAAAUAAAACUUUCAGGAACCGUGACCAGGACUUUUAACUUUUUCCUUUACAAGAUUUUUUUCCUAAGAAUCUCAUUGAUACGACUUAUAAAACGACGAGAAAUGGAUGGAAUUAUAUUAGCGUAAUGGAAUGAAUGUUUUUUUAAUAUCUUCUAAAAGAAUGCAAUAGCGUGAAAUGAAUAACCUACCAUGUACUUAUGUGUAUACGUUGUAAGUGGAGAAAGUACGGAAAUGGCUAAUUAUAUCAUAAAAUUUUGACGUAUCAAGAAAAUGGUUCUACGUCGUAGAAAAAAUGUGAACUACAAGGCGAGUCAAAAUGUCACGUAAAAUUUAAUUAUUUGAAGAAGGAACAUGAAGGAGAAAUUAAUUAAAACUGAAUGAAAAAACUGACGAAAAAAAUUCGUCGAACAAUUGGACAAACUAUCUCUAAUUAUAAAGGGAAGGAAAAAUAAUUAUUUCAUAACGAAAGUUGUUACCUUUCUGUUGUUACUAGAAGCGAUCAGUCAAGUAAUUACGAAAUAUAUGAGAAAUUAAUGAAUGGUAUUACGGACGUGUUUAUGGUACCUAGAUAACAUUACAACAAAUGUAGCCUUAGGCAAUACAUUUUUUAUAUUGUUUUAUUUCUUUGAACAUAAAAAUAAUUUAGUAUUUCAUUUUUGAGACACACACAUACACACAAUUUUUGUUCAUAGAGAUAAUCCAAGAAGAGAAGCAACCAAUGUUGAGAUGUAAAUUCAAUCGGGAAUUGAAAGAGGAAAGUGCAAAAGUUAUAUACCUUUGUUUACGUUACAAGAAGAAAAGCCAACAUUUCUCCUGGACUUUUUAUUCGAAUCAUUGCAUGAAGGGAGAAAAUAUGUGGAGCAAGAUAUUCGAGACGAAAUCAAUACGAUCGCUAUAAGUGGAAGCAAUACUUCAGUUACUGCCAUUAGCUUUGUACUUUUAAUGCUUGCUACAUUCCCUGAUAUUCAACUACGGACAUAUUACAUGUACUUAAUUAUUUGUAAUUAUUCAUAUAACGAAAAUUAUUUUUAUAUUACCU
Molecule: long non-coding RNA, 4379 nt
Organism: Vespula vulgaris
Lineage: Eukaryota; Metazoa; Arthropoda; Insecta; Hymenoptera; Vespidae
Exons: 7
Source: RefSeq, a predicted model, not a curated record